AAGUGAAGAAACUUGCUGAGCAGUAUGUUGAGACUGCACAGCAGAAGGAAAAAGGCGAUCUAUUAUGAUUAGAGUAAAUCAGUCUCAAAUUUUACAGGGCUGUUAAUUUCAAGUUUUUAAUUUCCCAAACCAGUUAUUUUGUUGAUAAUUACAGCGUACUACAUGACUUAUCAUUGACAUUAUGUAUCUCAGAAAUACGCAGUGAUGCCUUGCGCCAAA
RNAcentral lists this unclassified non-coding RNA (219 nucleotides) under Hevea brasiliensis (rubber tree). Lineage: Eukaryota; Viridiplantae; Streptophyta; Magnoliopsida; Malpighiales; Euphorbiaceae. The record is from RNAcentral.